RNAcentral lists this unclassified non-coding RNA (159 nucleotides) under uncultured Chaetothyriales. RNAcentral's name for it is "sequence contains ITS2". The record is from RNAcentral. Lineage: Eukaryota; Fungi; Ascomycota; Eurotiomycetes; Chaetothyriales.
UCACCACUCAAGCCAGGCUUGUUGUUGGAUCCCAGGUCGUGUUCUCCACCACCGGUCCCAAAGAUAAUGACGGAGUCCGCGAGGGCCCCAGUACAUUGAGCUUACUCCAAGCACGUAUUUGGUGGAACUCCGGAACCCGGUCUUACCUAUUUUUCACAA